UGCUCCUCUGAUGGUUAGCGGCGGACGGGUGAGUAACACGUAGGCAACCUGCCCGUAAGACCGGGAUAACUACCGGAAACGGUAGCUAAUACCGGAUAAUUUAUCGCUUCGCAUGGAGCGGUAAUGAAAGACGGAGCAAUCUGUCACUUACGGAUGGGCCUGCGGCGCAUUAGCUAGUUGGUGAGGUAACGGCUCACCAAGGCGACGAUGCGUAGCCGACCUGAGAGGGUGAACGGCCACACUGGGACUGAGACACGGCCCAGACUCCUACGGGAGGCAGCAGUAGGGAAUCUUCCGCAAUGGGCGAAAGCCUGACGGAGCAACGCCGCGUGAGUGAUGAAGGUUUUCGGAUCGUAAAGCUCUGUUGCA
RNAcentral lists this ribosomal RNA (369 nucleotides) under Paenibacillus cookii. RNAcentral's name for it is "bacterial SSU rRNA". It matches the Rfam family "Bacterial small subunit ribosomal RNA", at positions 78 to 440 of the family's 1533-position model. Lineage: Bacteria; Bacillati; Bacillota; Bacilli; Caryophanales; Paenibacillaceae. The record is from RNAcentral.